UCGGCUUAGAGUUUGAUCAUGGCUCAGGACGAACGCUGGCGGCGUGCCUAAUACAUGCAAGUCGAACGAAUUGGUGCUUGCAUCAUUGAGUGGCGAACUGGUGAGUAACACGUGGGAAACCUGCCCAGAAGCGGGGGAUAACACCUGGAAACAGAUGCUAAUACCGCAUAACAACUUGACCGCAUGGUCCGAGUUGAAAGAUGUUCGUAUCACUUUUGGAUGGUCCCGCGGCGUAUUAGCUAGAUGGUGAGGUAACGGCUCACCAUGGCAAUGAUACGUAGCCGACCUGAGAGGGUAAUCGGCCACAUUGGGACUGAGACACGGCCCAAACUCCUACGGGAGGCAGCAGUAGGGAAUCUUCCACAAUGGACGAAAGUCUGAUGGAGCAACGCCGCGUGAGUGAAGAAGGGUUUCGGCUCGUAAAACUCUGUUGUUAAAGAAGAACAUAUCUGAGGUAAUUCAGGUAUUGACGGUAUUUAACCAGAAAGCCACGGCUAACUACGUGCCAGCAGCCGCGGUAAUACGUAGUGGCAAGCGUUGUCCGGAUUUAUUGGGCGUAAAGCGAGCGCACGCGGUUUUUUAAGUCUGAUGUGAAAGCCUUCGGCUCAACCGAAGAAGUGCAUCGGAAACUGGGAAACUUGAGUGCAGAAGAGA
This 654-nucleotide ribosomal RNA is filed under the name uncultured Lactobacillus sp. RNAcentral describes it as "bacterial SSU rRNA". It matches the Rfam family "Bacterial small subunit ribosomal RNA", at positions 1 to 657 of the family's 1533-position model. Lineage: Bacteria; Bacillati; Bacillota; Bacilli; Lactobacillales; Lactobacillaceae. The record is from RNAcentral.